GCCUGGGUGGCUCAGUUGGUUAAGCGCCUGACUUCGACUCAGGUCAUGAUCUCACGGUUCAUGGGUUUGAGCCCCACAUUGGGCU
This 85-nucleotide transfer RNA is filed under the name Felis catus (domestic cat). It matches the Rfam family "tRNA". Rfam says of the family: Transfer RNA (tRNA) molecules are approximately 80 nucleotides in length. Their secondary structure includes four short double-helical elements and three loops (D, anti-codon, and T loops). The record is from Rfam by way of RNAcentral. Lineage: Eukaryota; Metazoa; Chordata; Mammalia; Carnivora; Felidae.